GAUGAAGAACGCAGCGAAAUGCGAUAAGUAAUGUGAAUUGCAGAAUUCAGUGAAUCAUCGAAUCUUUGAACGCACCUUGCACCCUUUGGCAUUCCGAAGGGUAUGCUCGUUUGAGUGUCAUUGUACUCUCACACUUCUGAUCCUUUGGAUUGGGAGCGGUGGACUUGGGUGUUGCUGCUUUACUGUGGCUCACCUCAAAUGCAUUCGUGCAACUCUUGGUUGGACAUAGUACGGCGUGAUAAGUAUCUUCGCCGGCACCUCGCAAGAGGGUGGCUGAUCAGGAGCUCUGUGCUUUCCAACUGUCUUCAGACAACAACUGACAACUUGACCUCAAAUCGAGUAGGACCACCCGCUGAACUUAAGCAUAUCAAUAAGCGGAGG
RNAcentral lists this unclassified non-coding RNA (381 nucleotides) under soil metagenome. Its description in RNAcentral is "partial contains 5.8S ribosomal RNA, internal transcribed spacer 2, and large subunit ribosomal RNA". The stretch from base 1 to 120 matches the Rfam family "5.8S ribosomal RNA", at positions 35 to 154 of the family's 154-position model. The record is from RNAcentral.